This 1065-nucleotide long non-coding RNA is filed under the name Scleropages formosus (Asian bonytongue). RNAcentral describes it as "lncRNA (ENSSFOG00015031128.1)". Lineage: Eukaryota; Metazoa; Chordata; Actinopteri; Osteoglossiformes; Osteoglossidae. The record is from RNAcentral.
CAGUUUAAUCGAGUGCAGACUUUCUCUCAACCUGCGAUCAUGCGCAACCCCUAUUUGACAAGAACCGACAACUGACCAGCCUCCUGGAGACACGUUGCCAUGGUGAUCGGAAAACCUGUGGUCAGCAGGACACCUCCGCCUGAGGGCUUAUUUCCUACAGCACCCAUUAGAUACCAUCAGCGGAGGAAACGGGACACACACUGCGUGUUUUUGUGGACAGCCAGAUUUUCUCUCAACUCUGCGAUCAUGCGCGUGACUCCCGUGUGACAAGAACCGAGAACUGACCAGCUGCCCGGACACGCGUUGCCAUGGUGAUUGGAAACCCUGCAUGACGUCAAUAGGACGCCUCCCUCUGAGGUCUUAAUUCCAACGGGACAGUUAGGUUCUAUCUGUGGAGGGAACGGGACACUUUUUUUGUGGACAGGCAGGUAUUCUGGACAAAGGGGUUUUUUGAACAGAGGACACGGAGGAGGCUGAAUCCAGAGAUCGUUCAUUCAGAAUGAAAAAGCCGGACUAGACGUGUUCUCGUGGUCUGGGACGGGCGAACUAAGAGAAGCGAGGUUCCGAAAUCGUGGUCGAGGGACCAGGCGAGCGGUUCUUAUCAAAGAGACGGAGAACAACGGGAUCGGGAAACAAUGAGAGACAGAACUUGGAAGAGCAAAGCGAGGUGGCUUUAAGGUAGACGAGGGGAGUGAGAUUCUGCAACUGAGAAGAGGUUUAGAAGUGUUUUUAGCCGAGUGCUGCUGGUUGAGGUGCGGGCAUGGUUGUGUGACAGCUACAGGUAUUCAUAAUUAGUAGAGAGAGAAAGAGAAGUAGUGUGUAUGGAUAUUAUUAAAACAUUAAAGAAACUUUCAUUUCACUUCCCAAUCGCUUUAUUGUUUCCACUUUAGUUUCAGUCGUGAUCGUUUUCCUUUUCUUUGAUGCAUCACCAUCACUUACAUCACAUUUUUGGUGCCAUGGUUACGAGGGUAAAAACAAAUUAAAAUCAAAUACAGUAACACACGAGACACUGUUACACAGCAACAUGGUUUGAUUGAAAAGAAGGAAGUCUUUGUCUUAUCUCGG